RNAcentral lists this long non-coding RNA (660 nucleotides) under Cyclopterus lumpus (lumpfish). RNAcentral describes it as "lncRNA (ENSCLMG00005020368.1)". The record is from RNAcentral. Lineage: Eukaryota; Metazoa; Chordata; Actinopteri; Perciformes; Cyclopteridae.
GUUGAACUGACGCACGGACGGACACUGAAAGUUUAACAUGGACAUCAUCAACAUGACGAGAAACUCUGCGUUUGGCCUCAUUAAUAGUUUAGCUCGUCUCGUCUUUGUACGUUUGUUUUUCUAAUUAGACGAGGGGGUUACUUUUUUCUUUCUUGUUUUUUACUUGAUAAGUAAAAUGAACAUUUAGACGUUGGCGACACGCGCGCAAACUCAUUGCGCUUCAUCAUUCUUUGCGCUUUGACGAUGCGUUGCGGACUGAGAGGAAGGAUGGCGAUGACCCUGACGAAGACAGCGAAUCUCAUCACUGCACUGGUUUUUGUUUUCCAGUUACAAAUAAGCUUCACGACGCUUAAAUCCGCUUAUGGAGUCUACCGUCCUGACACACAGGGGCUGUCUCCUCCAGAGGUUCGGCCGUAUGGAGUUGCAGGGAACAACCGGCCUAGGGAGAGGAGUCCCAGGUCCGGGGCCCCCGGCUGGGCUGCAGAUAAGAGGGGCCACUACAGAGACCAGCACAAACCAGAGGACUCGGAUCCAGACCUGCUGUUGGAUGAGGGGCACAACAAUUCUACACAGAUUGUGGACAUUGAUCAUGCUUAUUAUACAUCUAAACUCUACGGUUCUGAAGACGCGGCCAGUAAAGAGCUGUGGGUGAACAUCGAC